RNAcentral lists this ribosomal RNA (223 nucleotides) under uncultured bacterium. RNAcentral's name for it is "partial 16S ribosomal RNA". It matches the Rfam family "Bacterial small subunit ribosomal RNA", at positions 15 to 231 of the family's 1533-position model. The record is from RNAcentral.
GAUCAGCUCAGGAUGAACGCUAGCUACAGGCUUAACACAUGCAAGUCGAGGGGCAGCAUGGUCUUAGCUUGCUAAGACUGAUGGCGACCGGCGCACGGGUGAGUAACACGUAUCCAACCUGCCGUCUACUCUUGGACAGCCUUCUGAAAGGAAGAUUAAUACAAGAUGGCAUCAUGAGUCCGCAUGUUCACAUGAUUAAAGGUAUUCCGGUAGACGAUGGGGA